GCUGGGCGCGGUGGCUCACGCCUGUAAUCCCAGCACUUUGGGAGGCCGAGGCGGGCGGAUCACCUGAGGUCGGGAGUUCUACACCAGCCUGACCAACAUGGUGAAACCCCGUCUCCA
RNAcentral lists this non-coding RNA (117 nucleotides) under Pan troglodytes (chimpanzee). Lineage: Eukaryota; Metazoa; Chordata; Mammalia; Primates; Hominidae. The record is from Rfam by way of RNAcentral.